UACCAGGCCCAGGGACAAAGGUCUGAAGUGGCCUUGACAGCCCAUGGGCUGUGUGAGAACAAGCAACGGGCUCCUGCGUCACUGCAGCUUGCACAUCUCCCUGGAGAGCAUCCAGCACCACGGGGACCCCAGGCUCUCAGGGCCUGGGGACAAGUGCCAGCAUCUGGACACACAUGGGCUGGACACAGGCCCCACAGGACACAGUUACAUGAGUGUGCAUGCCACAAAAGCCUGGGAGAAAACACAUAAAACUCUUCACAGUGUUUCUCAGCAAGGCAGCGGUUGAUAAACACCCUCGGUGUAAGGAGCGGUGAAACACAGAAUCCACGCAUAUUUCUGGGAACGCGACCAGCUCCUUGUCAGUAGCCCCAGCACAGGACGUGGGUGUGCGAGUACUGGCACACGGGGGCAUACACGAACGCUCAUGGCACACACAGCCCACACCCAAUCCACACUCCGGUUUCUCACAAAGCCCAGACUGGGCUGUCUGUCACGGCCAGCAAUAGGCGGACUCACUUACGUGUAAAUCGCGGGUACAUCUAAAUCCAAAGGGACAAGCAUGCUGCAAUUACGGAUGAAGCAGAUCUACUUUUCCCUAAGCACAACUAAAAACCCCGAACAUUAUAUGUAAAACAAACAUAAAACACGCUGAGAGGUGGAGAGAGGACGGUAGACCACGGUCCCAGGGACAGCACAGUAGGG
This is a long non-coding RNA of Bos taurus (domestic cattle), 702 nucleotides long. The record is from Ensembl. NCBI's taxonomy places the organism in Eukaryota, Metazoa, Chordata, Mammalia, Artiodactyla, Bovidae.